GCUGGAGUGUUCCAAAGGGAUCGCAUUGAUCUAAUGACUCUCGAUGUCUAAAUCAUAUUAAUGUUUAGUUUUUUCGUUGGAUCAUGCGAUCCCUUAGGAAUUUUCCAG
Molecule: non-coding RNA, 108 nt
Organism: Populus trichocarpa (black cottonwood)
Lineage: Eukaryota; Viridiplantae; Streptophyta; Magnoliopsida; Malpighiales; Salicaceae
Source: Rfam